Molecule: long non-coding RNA, 24385 nt
Filed under: Homo sapiens (human)
Lineage: Eukaryota; Metazoa; Chordata; Mammalia; Primates; Hominidae
Description: non-protein coding lnc-DHRSX-1:6
Source: RNAcentral
GGAGGUGGCUCGGGCCGCGCCGAGGGGACCACGGGACGCCCUCCUUCCCUUCUCAGGAAACUGUGAGUGCCCCCCGCCCACAAGCCCGUCGCCAGGAUGCCGCCAACUAGAGCAAAGUGAAACCCCCAACAUUCUCGGGAAAGUGCGGGUCCCUCCCUCUCUACAGCCCCUUAAAUGCACGCCCCAGGGCGGCCCCUACCUGGAGCCAAGAGAAACCGCUGCCCUUCUUGGAGAGGUGUGGGCCUCUCCGCGCCCGCCCUUGCUGUCCCCUCUCUGUUCCUAACAGGCACCCCCCCCAGGCAGCCCCAACGGGGAGGAAAUGAAACUCUUCCUGCUCCUCUGCUCGGAAAACUAUGGGGCCCCCUUCCAGCUGCUCACGGGGCGCUCAGGGCGAUCCCCAAGGGGUGCAAAGUGCAAUCCCCUCCCUGCUUAGAAAGGCGUAGGCCUUGACAGGCAGCCACGGCCCCUGGUCCUUUCUGGAGCGUCCGAGCUGGGGGCGCUCAGUGGUGAAAGAUGGCGGGGGUGGGGGGCUUUGAGACACACUGCGGAUACCCGCUCUGCGCGGGACCAAGGACGUUCUGCCGCAAGCUCAGAGACAGGGUUGGGAGUGAGGACUUGUGGUCGUGGUUUGGGGUUGGGGGUAAGACCCCUAUCUGGGUCGCCUGGCUGAGUCCUGGUCCUUGGCGACUCACCCCAGCAGGCUGCGUCAGGGGCCCUUCGGUAACACUGGUCUUGUGCUGUCUCAGGCCUGCGGGUGACUCCGUCUCUCCCCAGGCCACCUGUGCCCCUGGAUCAGACACAGGCAAGGCCAGAGGGGCUGGCCCCGCACCCUGGGGCCCACCUCAGGGGUUUGAGGAAUGCAGCAGUCUAACUAUGCACUCCACUCCUGGAGGCAGAAUCAUUUUUCUUUUUUCUUUCUUUUUUUUUUUUUUUUGGUCUUUGCUUCAUCCUGAACCUGCCUGGGAUAAUGACGUGAUGGCUGGAGUCCCAGCAGCCAGUUCGAAGCAGGAAGUCUCCUACAGGAUAGAAGUUGUCUGUGUGUUGUUUGUUUGUUUAUUUGUUUGUUUUGAGAUGGAGUCUUGCUCUGUGGCCCAGGCUGGAGUGCAGUGGCACAAUCUUGGCUCACUGCAACCUCCGCCUCCCGGGUUCAAGUGAUUCUCCUGCCUCAGCCUCCCCAGUACCUGGGAUUACAGGCAUGCACCACCAUGCCAGGCUACUUUUUGUAUUUUUAGUAAAGACAGGGUUUCACCUUGUUGGCCAGGCUGGUCUCGAACUCCUGACCUCAUGAUCCGCCCACCUCGGCCUCCCAAAGUGCUGGGAUUACAGGCAUGAGCCACCGCACCCGGCCAGAAGUUGUAUUCUAAGCAUGGCAGAACACGUUGAGCAAAGGUAUCAGGGUGGCUGAUGAUACAGCAGGACGGCUGUGCCAGCCCGACUCACAUUCCCAACUUCUUUUACAGGACAAAGGAGUACAUUUUUAUCUUACCAUUUGCUAAAGUUAGGUUUCUAUCAGCUUUCUUUAAAUCACUUUUAUUUCUGGUUUUCAUUACCAAGGUCUGAGCCCAACUUAGAGACCUCCCGUGAGGUUCUUGUGGGCAACCAAAGCACUUAAGAGGUGUCAGAGCAUCACACACCAUGUCUGCUGCACAGACGAUCAAAUGAAGCUUUUGAAGUCAGUGGAUGAUGGGUGGAUAGAUGGGUCUGGGGGUAGGAAGUGGUGGAUGGAUGAAUGAAUGGACAGACAGCCAUCUGGAUGCGUGAAUGGAUGGAUCACUUGCUGGAAGGAUGGAUAAAGAGAUAGAUGGCUGGAUGAAUGAAUAAAUGGGUGGAUGGAUGGAAAGAUGAGUGGAUGAUUGGAUGGAUAGAUAGUUGGGUGGAUGGAUGAAUGGAUGGAUACAUAGAUGAAUAAAUGGAUGAAUGGAUGGGUGGGUGGAGGAAUGGAUAAAUGGACAGAUGAAUAAAUGGAUGGAUGAAAGGGGGGAUAGACGGAUUGAUCUAUGGAUAGAUGGACAGAUAGAUAAGUGGGUGGAUGGGUGGGUGGAUGGAUGGUUGGAAGGAUAGGUGGAUGGACAGAUUACUGGGUGGCUGGAGGGGUAGAGAGAGAUGGGUGGGUGGGUGGAUGGAUGGAUAGAUGGGUGGACAGAUUACUGGCUGGCUGGAUGGAUGGGUAGAGAUAGAUGAGUGGGUGGAUGGAUGGAUGGAUGGAUGGACGAAUGGAUGGAUGGAUAGAUAAGUGGACAGACGGAUAGAUAGCUGGAUAGAUGGGUGGGUAGAAGAAGAAUAGAUGGAUGAGUGGAUGGAUGAGUGAAUAGAUGGAUUGAUGGACAAACAAGUAAAUUUUUACCUGACAUUUUUGUAUUGUGUAACUUUCUGUGUGUUCAUUCAUUGGGAAACAAUUGUGAUACAUGGAUAUUGGACUUAUUAGCUCACGUCUGCUGAUAAGAAAACAACACAGGGCCAUAGAGUUCAUUAGCAGUGGACUGGGAUCAAAACGAAGGGCUCUUUGAUUUUGAGUUCAGGCCAUUUGGACCACUUUGCCUUGUGACUGCCCCCAAAUCACUGGAAUUUUCCUCGGGGUUCACAGCGCCCAAAGGUAAACAGUAUUUGGUAGCCUAGAGUUCAUACAUUGGAAAUUUCAUGGUCUGUGCCCCCUCAGUGGUGCAAAGCAUUUUUACAGCAAUAAUUAAUUUGGCAAUAACUUAGUGUGUGAGCCUGUGUAUGCGUCUUUUCAGCUGGCUAGUACAGUACCAGUGAUGCCAUGUUUGCACACUAAAUACCAGCCAGAGACAUGCAAGAAAAGAAGGGCAGGCCAGGCACAGUGGCUCAUGCCUGUAAUCCCAGUACUUUGGGAGGCCGAGGUGGGUGGAUCACCUGAGGUCAGGAGUUCGAGACCAGCCUGGCCAACAUGGUGAAGCCCCAUCUCUACUAAAAAUGCAAAAAUUAGCUGGGCAUGGCAGUGAGUGCCUGUAAUCCCAGCUACUCUGGAGGCUGAGGCAGGAGAAUCACUUGAACCUGGGAGGCGGAUGUUGCGGUGAGCUCAGAUCACACUACUACACUCCAGCCUGGGCGACAGAGCAAGAUUACAUCUCAAAAAAAAAAAAAAAGAAGAAGAAGAAGAGGGGCACAGCCUACCAGAUCUGCUGAGACACAUGUUUUUUAUCUGAACUUUUGGGGGUCAACUCAAAAUCCAAUCAACAGAUGACAAUGACAUCCUAAAAACUGUUCCCAGAUCAGACAGUAAAAUUUCACAGAUUCUGUCUUUGAGUCAUGGGGAUUUACGUCUCUGUAGAUUCAGGAGAAACAUCUCAUGCAUACAGUUCCAGAGAGUCAGGGACCAGCCUCUUCUGUAAAGAGGGAAACAAAAUGAAAUUGCGCAUUGGCAUGGACCGGACGCAAGAAGACAUCACUGAUUUAAGCUCCUUUACAAACUCUAUCCUAGGAAGCACUUUCCUUCUUCACUUUCAGCAGUCAAGCCUCUCCAAUGUCAUUGCGUCUAAACCUGUUGACAUGAUGGGGCUGUGGUUCACCUGGAAGAUGGGCUCUAUUCCUGACCAUUCUGAAGGCAAAGAACUUGAAAUAAGUUCAAAUUCAAGUUGCAGCACAUCCACGGAGCAGCUGGAAGUGCUGCCUGUGGCCUGUCGUAAUGGCAGGGUAGCAGUGAGAGAGAAAUAUAUUUCCUCACCCAUCAUUGGGUUCAUGACUAAGGCCCCUAGAACAAAAGACAAUAGCAAGAGAAAAGCAGGCCCAUGUAUUUAGGUUUUACGUGACACAGAAGCCAUCAUAAAGAAAGAAACAGGAAAAUCUGAGUAUUUUUACGCUUAGGUUUUCUGGUUUUUUGUUUGUUUGUUUGUUUGUUUUUGAGACGGAAUCUCACUCUGUCACCCAGGCUGGAGUGCAGUGACGGGAUCUCAGCUCAUUGCAACCUCCACCUCCUGAGUUCAAGCGACUCUUACCAUGUUGGCCAGGCUGGUUUCGAACUCCUGACCUCAGUUGAUCCACCCACCUCGGCUCCCAAAGUGCUGGGAUUACAGAUGUGAUAUGCUUACUUUUAAUGAAGAGUGGACAGUGAUGGAGAAGUAUGACUAUUGGACAAAAACGUUACAGGAAUGGGGUCCCAAUCCAGACCGCAAGAGAGGGUUCUUGGAUCUCAAGCAAGAAAGAAUUCGGGGUGAGUCCAUAGAGUAAAGUGAAAGCAAGUUUAUUAGGAAACAAAAGGAAUAAAGAAUGGCUACUCCAUAGAGCAGCCCCGAGGGCUCCUGGUUGCCCAUUUUUAUGGUUAUUUCUUGAUGAUAUGCUAAAUGGGGGGUGGAUUAUUCAUGCCUCCCCUUUUUAGACCAUGUAGGGUAACUUCCUGACGUUGCCAUGGCAUCUGUAAACUGUCAUGGUGCUGGUAGGAGUGUAGCAGUGAGGACGACCAGAGGUCACUGUUGUGGCCAUCUUGGUUUUGGUGGGUUUUGGCUGGCUUCUUUACUGCAACCUGUUUUAUCAGCAAGGUCUUUAUCACCUGUAUCUUGUACCAACCUCCUAUCUCAUCCUGUGACUUAGAAUGCCUUAACCAUCUGGGAAUUCAGCCAAGUAGGUUUUAGCCUCAUUUUACCCAGCUCCUAUUCAAGAUGGAGUGGCUCUGUUUUACAUGCCUCUGGCAAAAGGAUCUGAUCUAAUGAGAAUAAACUGCGGGAACUUAGCAGGGCCUGUUUGUUCAGAUUCUUCUGUGUCCCUGCAUGUUCAGAGUUAAGGAUAUUCUCUUCCUCCUGGUAUAGGGAGGGCGCCUCUGGAAUGAGGGUCCCCUGACCUGCUUCAGGGUAAGGUCAGAGAGUCCUUCCGAGGUUUUAUGGCCUAUGCUAAAGAAGAACCAUGAGGGUAAGGUGAAAGUGACCUUCUUACUUAAAUUGUUUUCUCAAAUGCCACAGUUCCAUAUUUUGGUGGAAUGUUUUCUGAACCCCAUCAGGAAAAGCAAAGCAAUGAGAAAACAAUCUGGGGGGACAAGACAAGGAGAUAUAACAGAUGGGGGAGGUUUGUGGUUGACUACAUCACUCUUGGAGGCAUUCGACCGAGGAAUAUUUCAGAAUCUCUGGUAACACACACCAGGAACAGCCUAAUCUACUCCCUAAAAGGAGUCUAGUUCAUUACUGAGUUUAUGGCUUCCCUACAUUUCCCUGUUUCUGACCACAACCAUUUUUUUUUUUUUUUCUGGAGACUGGGUCUCCCUCUGUCGCCCAGGCUGGAGUGCAGUGGCGCAAUCUCGGCUCACUCCAACCUCCGCCUGUCGGGUUCAAGCGAUUCUCCUGCCUCAGCCUCCCGAGUAGCUGGGAGUACAGGCAUGCACCACCACGCCCAGCCAAUUUUUAUAUUUUUAGUAGAGAUGGGGUUUCACCAUGUUGGCCAGGCUGGUCUCAAACUCCUAACCUCAGGUGAUCCCUCUGCCUCGGCCUCCCAAAGUGCUGGGAUUACAGGCGUGAGCCACCAUGCUCACCUCCCCCGCCUGCCCAAUUUUUUUUUUUUUUUAAUUAGCCAGGCAUGCUGAUUGCUUGAGCCUGGGAGAUGAAGACUGCAGAGAUGUAAUUGCACCACUGCACUCCAGCCUGGGCGACGGAGACCCUAUCUCAAAAUACAACCAAAUAAAACAAAAAACAAGAAUGCAGACUCAGAGUCCAGCCAAAACCAGGUUUUAGCUGCAAGACAGGUUAUAGGAAGGAGAAAGGAAAAGGCUUUCCUAGCAAAAGUGGGCUUGUUAUGUACAUGCAGCUUCACAGGUAGCAGCCCCCAGAGAGAAGAGAUGCUGAAUAUUUCUUUUCAGGUCUUUAAAGGCACCAUACUCUCAGUUAAUCUCUCCUAGAUCCGGACAAGAGAAGAGUUGGCUGCCUUACAGGAGACCCUCUGCAGAUCGACAGACGCAAGGUCCCCCACAAAAGACAGUGUUUCUUCUUCUUUUUUGUUUUUCUUCAAAUUUUAUUGUAAAUUCAAGGGUGCACGUGCAGGUUUGUUACUAAGUAAACAUGUGCCAUGGUGCUUUGCUGCACAGAUCAACCCGUCACUCAGGUAUGAAGCCAGCAUCCAUUAGCUCUUCUUCCUGAGGCUCUCCCUCCCCCUACCCCCGACCUUUUCACAGACCCUAGUGUGUGUUCUCCUCCCCGUGUCCAUGUGCUCUCAUUCUUCAGCUCCCACUUAUAAGUGAGAACAUGCAGUAUUUUAUUUUCUGUUCCUGCAUUAGUUUGCUGAGGAUAACGGCUUCCAACUCCAUCCGUGUUCCUGCAAAGGACACGAACUCAUUCUUUUGUAUGGCUGCAUAGUAUUCCAUGGUGUAUAUGUACUAUUUCUUUUUUUUCUUUCUUUCUUUUUGAAAUAGAGUCUUGCUCUGUCACCCAGGCUGGAGUGCUGUGGUGCAAUCUCAGCUCACUGCAACCUCCGCUUCCCGGGUUCAAGCGAUUCUCCUGCCUCAGCCUGCCAAGUAGCUAGGAUUACAGGCACCCACCAUCACACCCAGCACAUUUUUGUAUUUUUAGUAGAGACGGGGUUUCACCAUGUUGGCCAGGCUGGUCUUGAACUCCUGACCUCAAGUGAUCUGCCCGCCUCAGCCUCCCAAAGUGCUGGGAUUACAGGUAUGAGCCACUGUGCCUGGCCACCGCAUUUUCUUUAUCCAGCCUAUUAUUUAGGCAUUUAGGUUGAUUCUAUGUCUUUGCUAUUGUGAACAGCGCUGCAAUGAACAUACGCAUGCGUGUAUCUUUAUAAUAGAAUGAUUUUUCCUUUGGGUACAUACCCAGUAAUGGGAUUGCUGGGUCAAAUGGUAAUUCUGCCUUGAGGUCUCUGGGGAAUCGCCACACUGUCUUCCACAAUGGUUGAAUUCAUUUACACUCCCACCAACAGUGUCACAGUGUUUCUAUUUCUCCACAACCUCGCCAGCACCGGUUGUGUUUUGACUUUUUAAUAAUCACCAUCCUGACUGGUGUGAGAUGGGGUCUCAUUGUGGCUUUGAUUUGCAUUUCUCUAAGAAUCAGCGGUGCUGAGGUUUUUCCAUAUGUUUUUUUUGGCCAUAUGAAUGUCUUCUUUUGAGAAGUGGAAAGAUAGCAUUUCAGGAGUAUUCCCCAAUAUAUUAAAGAAAUAUAUUUUGAGAUAAAAUAUUUUUAUUUCCUUUAGUACAUUUUAUUUAUUUAUUUAUUUUUCUUUGAGACAGGGUCUUGCUCUGUCACCCAGGCUGGAAUGCAGUGGUGUGAUCUUGGCUCUCUGCAACCUCCACCUCCCGGGUUCAAGCAAUUCUCCUGUCUCAGCCUCCCAAGUAGCUGGGAUUACAGGUGCCUGCCACCACAGCUGGCUCAUUUUUUUCUAUUGUUAAUAGAGAUGGGAUUUUGCCAUGUUGGUCAGGCUAGUCUCAAACUCCUGACCUCAGGUGAUCAACCCGCCUCCCAAAGUUCUGGGUUUACAGGUGUGAGCCACUGUGGCCAGCCUGUUUCUUUUCUUAUACAAACAAACCUAUAAUGGUAAGGUUUAAUUUAUGAAUUAGGCACAGUGAAAGAUUAACAACAACAGACUAAUAAUAAAAUAGAACAAUUACAACAAUAUACUGUAGUAAAAGUUAUGUGAAUGUAAUGUGCUCUCUCUCUCUUUCAUGUGUGUGUCUCACUCUCUCUCUUGAAAUAUCUUAGUAUUUUCAGCCAUAGUUGACCAGUGAUAACGGAAACCACAUGUUGUAGGCUGUUCUUGCAUUGCUGCAAAGAAAUACCAGAGACUGGGUAAUUUAUACGAAAAAAAGAGGUGGGCCGGGCACGGUGGCUCACGCCUGUAAUCCCAGCACUUUGGGAGGCUGAGGCGGGAGGAUCACUUGAGAUCAGGAGUCUGAGACCAGCCUGGCCAACAUGGUGAAACCCUGUCUCUACAAAAAAUACAAAAAAUUAGCCGGGGGUCAUGGUGGGUGCUUGUAAUCCCAGCUACUUGGGAGGCUGAGGCAGGGGAAUCGCUUGAACCUGGGAGGUGGAGGUUGCAGUGAGCUGAGAUCACACCACUGCACUCCAGCCUGGGCGACAGCAAGACUCCUGUCUCUCUCACACACACACACACACACAAAGGAGGUGUAAUUGGCUCAUGGUUCUGCAGGCUAUGGAGAAAGCACGGCACCGGCAUCUGCUCAGCUUCUAGGGCCUCAGGAAGCUUCCAGUUAUGGUGGAAGAUGAAGUGGGGGUAGGCACAUCACACGGGAAAAACAGGAGCAACACGGGGGUGGUGAGGGUGCCACAGCACUAAAACAGCCAGAUCUGGCAAGAACUCACUCACUAUUUCGAGGACAGAAGUAAGCCAUGAGGAAUCUGCCCCCAUGACCCAAACACCUGCCACCAGGCCCACCUCCAGCAUUGGGCAUGACAAUUUGACAUGAGAUUUGACAGGGACAAAUAUCCAAACUCUUUCACCGUGGAAAGCAAAACCACAGAUGGGGCGGGAGGGCUACUGUACAUUGUGCAGAAAUGCAGCUCCUCGGAGCCGGCUGGGGGAAGGAGCAGGUCUCUCAGCUGCUGAACAGUUUUGGGAGAUUACCUACCAUCACUUCUCUCUGUCCCAGAAUCACACAAAAUGGUCAGCUGUGCCAAGUGCCUUGCCCAGUUCUCUGCACCUUUCCUUCUGUCUCCUUCCACGUGUGACCACCCCCUUCACCAUCCUGUCGUCGCGUCUAAAGCUCCCUCCACACAUUGCGUGAUAGCCAGUAAGUCUAGACACAAGGUGUGAAGGUAAGGACAGCAACUUUAUUUUGAAGAACCAGCAAGUCAAGAAGACAGAAGACUGCUGUCCUAAAAAGCCAUCUUUUUUUUUUUUAAUUUAUUAUUAUACUUUAAGUUCUGGGACACACGUGCAGAAUGUGCAGGUUUGUUACAUAGGUAUGCAUGUGCCACGGUGGUUUGCUGUACCUGUGAACCCAUCAUCUAGGUUUUAAGCCCCGCAGGCAUUAGGUAUUUGUCCUAAUGCUGUCCCUCCCCUUGCCCCCCACCCUGCAACAGGCCCCGGUGUGUGAUGUUCCCCUCCCUGUGUCUAUGUGUUCUCAUUGUUCAGUUAUGAGUGAGAACAUGUGGUGGUUGGUUUUCUGUUGCUGUGUUAGUUUGCCGAGAAUGAUGGUUUCCGGCUUCAUCCAUGUCCCUGCAAGGGACAUGAACUCAUUCUUUUUUACGGCUGCAUAGUAUUCCAUGGUGUAUAUGUGCUACAUAUUCUUUAUCCAGUCUAUCACUGAUGGGCAUUUGGGUUGAAAGAACCAUCUUAAUAGAAUUUUAGGCUGCUUUUAUGCCAGGGGGAGAGGGAGGGUGGUAGAGGGCAAGAGGUGAGCAAUGACCACAGACAUCUGGGCGGCUAUUAUGGUCCAAGGGGCCUUGUGGAACUUCCUCAUCCUUGGUCAGGUCACAGUGCUCUUAUAAAUCUUUGACAUAACAUUGUUCCUUCUGCGCACAUCCUCCUGAUCCCCUCGGGGGUUAUUUUUGGGAAGGGACUAUGAUCAUUCUUGCUUUAAAGUUAAACUGUAAACUGAAUUCAUGAUUAGCUUGACCUAUUUGUAGGAAUGAGCAAAUGCAGUUAGCUUGUGAGGUGAGAAGCAAGACAGAGUGAACUAUGUUAGAAUUUUCUCACUGUUACAUUCACACAUAGGUUCUUGGCCAAAGAAGCAGACGACCAACACAUUCUCUCUUUUUUUUUUUUUUUUUGAGACGGAGCUUCGCUCUUGUCCCCCAGGCUGGAGUGCAAUGGUGCGAUCUUGGGUCACUGCAACCUCUGCCUCCCGGGUUCAAGCGAUUCUCCUGCCUCAGCCUCCUGAGUAUCUGGGAUUACAGGUGCCCGUCACCACGCCUAGCUAAUUUUUUAUAUUUUUAGUAGAGACAGGGUUUCACUAUGUUGGCCAGGCUGGUCUCGAACUCCUGACCUCAAAUGUUCCACCCACCUCAGCCUCCCAAAGUGCUGGGAUUACAGAUAUGAGCCACCACGCCCGGCCCAACAUGUUCUCUUGUUAGAGGCAUUUGAACCAGAGCAACUCAAUCUUGAAUAGGAGCUGGGUAAAAUGAGGCUGAGACCUGCUGGGCUGCAUUCCCAGGAGGUUAGGCAUUCUUAGUCACAGAAUGAGAUGGGAGGUCAGCACAAGAUACAGGUCAUAAAGACCUUGCUGAUAAAACAGUUUGCAGUAAAGAAGCCGGCCAGAACCCACCAAAACCCAGAUGGCGAUGAGAGUGACCUCUGGUCAUCCUCGCUGCUCAUUAUACCCUAAUUCUAAUACAUUCGCUUCUCAAAAAUACUCCCAACAGUGUUGUGACGGUUUACAAAUGCCAUGGCAACAUCCAGAAGUUACCCUAUAUUGGCUAAAAGGGGAGGAACCCUCAGUUAUAGAAACUCCCGUUUCCCAGAAAACUCUUGAAUUUAGCAUAUAAUAUGGCAUUCAGAUUAUAUGCUAAAUGCCCUUUGUUUAGCAUAUAAUCAAGAAAUAACCAUAAGUAUACUCAGUCAAGCAGCCCACGCUUCUGUUCUGUCUAUGGAGUAGCCAUUGUUUUACUCCUUUACUUUCUUUUUUUUUUUUUUUUCCCUGAGACAAGGUCUCGCUCUGUUACCCAGGGUGGAGUCCGUUGGCACAAUCAGAGUUCACUGUAGCCUCAACCUGUUGGGCUUAAGCAAUCCUCCCACCUCAGUCUCCCAAGUAGCUGGGACCAUAGGUACAUGCCACCACACCCAGCUAACUUUUUUAUUUUUGGUAGAGACGGAGUUUUGUCAUGUUGGCAAGGCUGGUUUCAAACUCUUGAGCUCAAGCAUUCCGCCCAUCUCAGCCUCCCAAAAUGUUGGCAUUACAGGCAUGAGCCACCCUGCCCAGCCCUUUUACUUUCUUAAUAAACUUGCUUUCACUCUGUGGACUUAUCCUGAAUUUUUUCUUGCAUGAGAUCCAAAAACUCUCUUGGGGUUUGAAUUGGGACCCCUUUCCAGUAACACUUUGACUCCUCUCCUGUUCAGAUGUCAUCACUCCCUCCAGCAAACCUGGAGUGUUCAAACUCUUUUCCAUCCAUCCUUUCCUUUCAAGGCAAAGAGGCAACUUGGCUAUUCUCAUAGACACACAGAUAGGAGAUGUAGGAAUUCAUAGGAGACAUUCAACUCAGAUGUUAGAUCUAUUGAUAAACAAGAUGGCAGCUUGUCUUGCUGCUUAGAUAUAAAAGAUGCUGUUGCUUGCUUGCAAAAAAAAAAAUGAAGCACGUUCCUGGAGUUCACCAAUAUGGCGUGGACUUUACCUCCUCAACACUGUCAGUCAGUGCAAGAUGGUCCAACCUCUGGGUGCCAAGACACGUGAUCAUUUUCCCAAUGCCAUUCUCUUAUCCCUUGAGCCUGCUUUCCCACCUGCUAAGGUUUGGAUCUGUGUUCCCACCCAAAUGUUAUGUCAAAUUGUAAUCCCCAACGUUGGAGCUGGGGCCCAUUGGGAGAUGGUUCGGUCAUGGGGGUGCUUUUUCAUGAAUGGUCUAGCAUCCUCUUCUUGGUGCUGUUCUCAUGCUAGUGAGUGAUUUCUCACAAGAUCAAGUUGUUUAAUAGUGUGUGGCACCUCCCUUCUCACUCUCUCUCCUGCUCCUGUUCUAACCAUGUAAGAUGCACCUGCUUGCCCUUUGCCUUCUGCCAUAAUUGUAAGUUUCCUGAGGCUUCCCCAGUCAGGCUUCCUGUCCAGCCUGCAGAACUGUGAGCCGAUUAAACCUCUCUUCUUUAUCAAUUACCCAUUCUCAGGUAUUUCUUUAUAGCAGUACAAGAAGAGCCGAAUACACCACCCAUUGAGCAGAUUGGAAGUGCAAGAAAACUAGCAUAUGCCCCCAUCCUGGAAGCAACCUCAGCCAACACAUGUUGGGAAACGACAGAAAAAGACCCCGGCCUUCCUCACUCUUCCGGUGGGAUGACCCUGAGUCUCCAAGCUCUCAUUGCAGUCACUGGCCUGAUAAUAUCUUCCACUCUCUGUCUUCACUCCCUCUCCCCUCCCACUGCUCCCUGGGACUCACCCCCGCCCACCCUCCCCAAACACAAAAGCUUUGCGGUAAAAUCACGGUCUCAAGGUCUGCUUUGGGGAGAAAAGAGUCACCUCCUUGAAAUCUAGACUUUCUGUGCUUCCAGAAAACAUGUUGAAACGUUACCUGUCAAUUAAAUUCCGGGAAGCCUGGGUGUGUCACACUUUGAAUCAUGUGGACAGACACCAUGAAGAGCCUGGAGUUUGGUGAACUUUGUUGAAACCCCUCCAUCACUCUCGUGGUCGAAUCCAAUCCAAUCCUCAUGUCCUCAUGAGUUCGUUUUCAUUUCCUAAAUGACAUCCAUGGAAAAAUAAUGGGGAGAGAGGAAACACAAUUUUACAUUUGUAUCUGACAGGCUCUGAAAGGGAGCUAGAGAAUGUAGUUAGCAUCCAUAAAUUAUGGAAGAGGGUAUUUCCCAUCUUCUUAACACAUGCAACACUUCUAAGGGGCCUGCAAAAACCCCAGCAGCCUUUCAAUGUCCCCCACAUCUUAGCACACAUAAAUAUUUACAUCUGUCCUAUCAAGAAACAAAUAUGCAUGCAUAUCAUUAUUUUGGAGAUAUAGCGUGAGCACUUUGUUUGCAAGAAAAAAAUAUGCAUGCAUAUCAUUUUGGAGAUAUAGUGUGAGCACUUAUAUUUGUUUGCAAGAAACAAAUAUGCAUGUAUAUCAUUAUUUUUGGAGAUACAGUGAAUGCACUUUUCAGUUACAUGCUCAAAAUGGUAUGCUAAACUGAAAGUGGUUGUCAUUACCCUUAAUUUCUGCAAGGAAUAAACAAGUAUGUCCUGGUGGCACAUUGCUAUGAAUAAAGCAGACUAUUUCAGGGCUAUGGGAGUUCUAUGGAAAGCGUGAGCCAAAACAUGGUUUUUCCUGUGUCUUGUUUAUGAUGCUUAUUCAUAAUGGGAGGGAACAGAAUAUUGGCUUCAUUCAUGUCCUUGAUUUAUGAUGGAAUCCAUAGGAAUCUGCCACCUUGGGUGAAUGAGCAAUACCUAAAGGAAUGUCCUAUAAGAUACCGAGAUAUGCCACCCAAAAUAUGACUUAGGAGACCAAGAUACGCCACCCAAAAUAUGACUUAGGAGACCAAGAUUGCGAUUUUUAUAAAAAGCUCAUCAGCAAUCAUUAGGGUUAGUGGGCUUUUUUGGUUUUUUUUUUGUUUUUGUUUUUGUUUGUUUGUUUGAGACAGAGUCUCACUCUCUGUCACCCAGGCUGGAGUGCAGUGACAUGAUUUUGGCUCACUGCACACUACAACCUCCAUCUCCCAGGCUAAACCAAUUCUCGUGCCCCAGCCUCCCGAGUAGCUGGGAGUACAGGUGUGCACCACCGCACCUGGCUAAUUUUUGCAUUUUCCUUUUAGUAGAGAUGGGGUUUCACCGUGUUGACCAGGCUGGUCUCAAACUCCAGGCCUCCAGGAAUCCACCUGCCUUGGCCACCCAAUGUGUUGGGAUUACGGGAAGGAGCCACUGCACCUGGCCAGUGUAUGUUUGUAAGGCUCACCCACACUGUAGCAUGUGUCAGCACUUGAAACCUUUUUCUGCCUGAAUCACAUUCCACUGUAUGGAUAUGCCAUAUUUUGUUAAAUCCGUUCAUUGGCUGAGGGACGUUUGGGUCACCUUCACUUUUUGGCUAUUUUGAGUAGUGCAGCUAUCAACAUUACGUGUAUAAAUGUACAAGCUAUUUGGUGGACACGUGUUCUCGUUUUUCUCUUGAGUAUGUGCCCAGAAGCAGAAUUGCUGGCUCAUAGGGUGAUGUGGUUUGGCUGUGUCCCCACCCAAAUCUCAUCUUGAAUUCCCAUGUGUUGUGGGAGGUAAUUGAAUCAUGGGGACAGGUCUUUCCCAUGCUGUACUCAUGGUAGUGAAUAAGUCUCAUGAGAUCUGAUGAUUUUAUAAAAGGGAGUUUUCCUGCACAAGCUCUCUCUUUGCCUGCUACCAUCCAUGUAAGACGUGACUUGCUUCUCCUUGCCUUCUGCCAUGAUUGUGAGGCCUCCCCAGCCACAUGGAACUAUAAGUUCAUUAAACCUCUCUUUCUUCUGUUAGUUGCCCAAUUUUGGGUAUGUCUUUAUCAGCAGUGUGAAAACAAACUACUACAUAUGGUAUGUCUUCGGUUAACCUUUUGAGGAAACAUCAGACUCUUCCAUCUCUGUAUCUUUCCAAUUUCAAUCUAAACGGACUCAAAUCUGACUCUUAGACUCCACUCCCCUGGGAAAUGUGAUGUCGGCUAUUAUUGCGGUUCCCUCUCCUCCCUAGAGUCUCCUAAGAAUUUGGGUCAUGCUCCAUUUUCAGACAAUUUGAAAAUUGGUCUGUUAUGGUCUCUGCUCUGAAAAGCUUCAUUCUCAUCCCACCUCCUGCCCCGGCUUCCAGCAGCCUCCCUUAAAAUUCUGGGGAUGCAGACAUCUGUGCUGAGGCUGAGAAGCCAGGAGCCUGGAGACCAGCGUCCCUGGGCAGGUGCAGUGGAACCAGCUGGCCAUGUGCCAAAAUUCCUGUGACCCUUCCCUGGUACUGUGCUGUCUUUGCUGAGAGCUGGCCGCCUGCUCAGGGGUCCCUAAGUCUUACACUGGACAACUGGAUGAGUGAGAAAUAAUUAUUUAAUUGUUAAGCCACAGAAAUUCCAGGGCUCAUGUGUUACAGCCAGUCAUUUCUCAUGAACUAAUACAGUAGAUGGCUUGGAUCAACCCCCUCUGAUGGGAUGCUGCUUCUCUUCUCGGUUGGUGGAAAAAGAAUUUCCAUCAGUCUCUCUCUCCUUGUCUCUCUCUCUCUCUCUUUAUUCCUUUUCCUUUCUGUCUCCAUCUCCCUCUCCCUGACUCUUCUGGCCCCUCCCUACCAUUGUCAGAUAAAAUAUCAGGUUGCACACGGUAACGCACGUCUGUAAUCCUAGCACUUUGGGAGACUAAGGCAGGAGGAUUUCUUGAGUUCAAGAGUUCAAGACCACCCUGGACAACAUAGUGAUACCUCGUCUCUACAAAACAAACAAACAAACAUAUUAGCUGAGCAUGGUGGCACACGCCUGUGAUUUUAGCUGGUCUGGAGGCUGAGGUGGGAGGAUUGCUUGCCCCCAGGAUGUCAAGGCUGCAGUGAGCUGUGAUGGCACCACUUCUUUCUAGCCUGGGUGACAGAACAAGACCCCCAUUUCAAAAAAAAAAAGACACAACAUCAUCAAAAAUUGUACUUAAAUAUAAAAGUUUGAAUACUGAAAAGUCUCCCACAGCAAGCAGGCUUUAAAACUCCAAAAUCUAUCUGUACACAGCACUUUUUUUUUUUUCACUCUUCUCAGAUCUAAGAACGAUGACAGGUGGCCAUGGUGCCUCGUGUCCCCUUGCAGGGGUGCAGGGGUACACACACCUUUUUUUUUUUUUUUUUUAAUUUGAGAUGGAAUCUCGCUCUGUCGCCCAGGCUGGAGUGUAGUGGUGAGAUCUCGGCUCACUGCAAACUCCGCCUUCCGGGUUCACGCCAUUCUCCUGCUUCAGCCUCCCGAGUAGCUGGGACUACAGGCGCCCGACCAUCACGCCAGGCUAAUUUUUUGUACUUUUAAUAGAGACGGGGGUUUCACCAUGUUGGCCAGGCUGGUCUCGAACUCCUGACCUCGUGAUCCUCCCGCCUCGGCCUCCCAAAGUGCUGGGAUGACAGGCGUGAGCCACCGUACCCAGCCUCGGUGAAAACCUCAGAGGCAGGCAGCAUAUUCCCUGCCGAGCCGGUAGGUGGCGCAGUCAGAUAAGCAUUAACUAAAUCACAGCUCCCUCUCCCCAUCAGAAUCUUUAUCUAGAGGGUAACCCCAAACCUGAGAAUUUGGUCAGGUCCGCACACACACAGGCAUCAUCAUUCUUCAGCGCCAUCAUGAAGGGCUCUUCUCCCCCUGUUAAAGGAAACUAUCACAUAGUCUUCCGAAACAGCCAGUCAAAAACUUUGUGAUGCAGGAAAGAACAAAAAAAAAUUAAAGGACGAUUACAGAAUAAAUAUUUACAUUUCUGCCUGUAACACGGACUCUGAAGCAUUGGAAUAAUGAGGACUUGCACACCGCAAAUGGGCAUCAAAAUCGGGCUUUAUACUUGAAAAAUGAAGUUUUGUGUCAAAGAAAAGGGACAUUUCAAACACCACAUUUAUGUUUGACCCACAUAUACAUGUGAUUUUAGCUGGUCUGAUAUUAUAUUAUAUUAUAUAUAUAUAUAUUUGUUUGUUUGUUUGUUUUGAGACAGAGACUCACUCUGUCGCCCAGGCUGGAGUGUUGUGGAGCAAUCUCGGCUCACUGCAGUCUCCGCCUCCUGGGUUCAAGUGAUUCUCCCGCCUCAGCCUCCCGAGUAGUUAGGACUACAGGCGCCUGCUUCCGUGCCCUGCCUCGGCCUCCCAAAGUGCUGGGAUUACAGGCGUGAGCCACUGCACCUGGCCAGUACCUUUAUACCCUUCUGGAAAGAGAACAUGUUCCUUCCCCUGUUGACACUGAAUUAUGUCAACAGUUCUCCCCCAAGUAAUGCAUGGGUUUAAAUCACACAGGUGAUUUCAACUUGCUGCCCCCACUAUUUCAUUUGACAAAGGACACAGUCCUGCCUACCUGAGAGGCAGUGGCUCUACGUAAAAAGUUUUAACACACAGGAAACACCAUUAAAGGGUUAGUGACUAACCCAUAUUUCCUGUUUUUUUGGUUUGUUUGUUUGUUUUCCCCACACAUCCCCACUGGCCUGAAUGAGACCUCAAGGUGUCUCAUUCUUACUUUAUCUUACAAUCACUCUGAUGGUCAAGAAGCUUGAGCACAUGGGAAUUCUUAAAUCAAGGCACAUGAUUGUUACAAAGAAUAGACGCUGAGGUGGGCGGAUCACCUGAGGUCAGGAGUUCAAGACCAGCCUGGCCAGUAUGGUGAAACCCCGUCUCUACUAAAAAUACAAAAAUUAGAUGGGUGUGGUGGCACGUGCCUGUAAUCCCAGCUACUCAGGAGGCUGAGGCGGGAGAAUCGCUUGAACCUGGGAGGCAGAGGUUGCAGUGAGCGGAGAUCAUGCCACUGCACUCCAGCCUGGGUGACAGAGUAAGACUCCAUCUCAAAACAAAAACAACAAAAACAAACCAAAAAAACAAGUUAAUUAGAAUGCAUGGCCAACGUUGUGUUCCCCAGCUCUGUUGGUUUUCACAUUUUUUUCCACAAACGAAAUAAAAAUGAAAGCAAAGCUUAAAGCUAAAAAGCAUACCCAUUUAGACAAUCUGUAAAUAUAUACUUUGUUGAAAUAACACUGUGAGAGUUUGUGCACAUUUCUUUGGUUGUUUUCGUCAUCUGAAUCCAUGGCUGACUGGCUCCCACUCUGCUAUUUUAAAAAUAAAAUGUCCUUUCUUCUAUCGUUUCUGUGGUUUUGUCGCCAACCCAUAUUUGCUGGAAUAAGGUAGUAAAAAACAUACACUAAAGUCUGAAGUCCCCAUCAGCUCUGCUAACUUAUUACUAGUUUUCACACACACUGAGUUUAAUGAAUCUAUGUUUUGGAACAAAGCAGUUACCUUAGGAACUUGAGAGAUGUUUCCGGCCAGGCGCGGUGGCUCACGCCUAUAAUCCCAGCACUUUGGGAGGCCGAGGAGGGUGGAUCACAAGGUCAGGAGACCGAGACCAUCUUGGCCAACAUGGUGAAAGCUCAUCUCUACUAAAAAUACGAAAAUUAGCUGAGCGUGGUGGCACACACUUGUAAUCCCAGCUACUUGGGAGGCUGAGGCAGGGGAAUUGCUUGAACCCAGGAGGCGGAGGUUGCAGUGAGCCUAGAUUGUGCCACUGCGCUCCAGCCUGGCGACAGAGUGAGACUCUGGCUCACGAAAAAAAAAAAAAACCUAGAGAGAUGUUUCCUUGUAAAACCACCCCAUUCUAAAAAGCAGGUGGGUUACAUCUGCUUCCCUGUAAAGAGAACUCUUUCUAGUGUUAGCUGCUCUGUUCAUAGAUAAAAAAUGCUGGACACCUAAAAUGUUAGUUUAAAUUUAUUAAUAGCAUCUACAUAAAAUCUUAGCUAUUUCACACAACACUACCCACUAUCAUAUUUGAAAUAAUCUGAGCAAAUAGUAAAAAGACAUAUCCCAAAGACAACAACACUGGCAGACUAAAGAAAAGCAGAAACCAUGAACUAAGAAGGUAAAAUGCUUUUGAACCUCUAAGCGACUCCUGCUAUUACGGAAACAUCCGUUUUCGUCCAUUGGGUUUUAUCGGUUUUUAUCAUUGGCUUUGUGUUUUGCCUAAAUUAGCAAAUAUAGCAAGUCUGUUUAUGCCUCAGUUAACCUGUAGACUUAACCUCACUAAAAAUAAUAACACAUUAGGAAAAACUAUCAGAAAAAACAAUAACCACACCUCCGCCCCAACACAAAGGCACACAUAAAGAGGGACUGGACACAAAUCCAUACCACAGACUUGAUUUGGUUUACAAACUUGAUUUUGUAACCCAAAUCCUUUUUGUUUUUGAGACACAGCCUCACUCUGUCGCCCUGGCUGGAGUACCCUGGUGUAAUCUCAGCUCACUGCAACCUCCGCCUUCCGGGUUCAAGCAAUUCUCCUGCCUCAGCCUCCCAAGUGGCUGGGACUACAGGCACAUUCCACCACGGCUGGCUAAUUUUGUAUUUUUAGUAGAGACGAGGUUUCACCAUGUUGGUCAGGCUGGUCUUGAACUCCUGACCACAGGUGAUCCACCCACCUUGGCCUCCCAAAGUGCUGGGAUUACAGGCAUGAGCCACCAAGCCCGGCUGCAACCCAGAUCUUGAUUUUUGACCUUGAUUUGACCCACAGAUUUGGGAAUGAGAAGUGAUUACAGAGUUGGAGCCUUGGAGGGAGAGAGGGUUUCUCAUGUGAGCAGGGCAUGGAGAAACAGUAGUCAAAAUCCUGAUUUUGACCAAGAUUUUUUCCAAAUCUUGAUUUUUGACCUUGAUUUGUAAACCAAAUCAGUUUUGUUUUGUUUCCUGCUUUUUUGUUUUUUGUUGUUUGAGACGGAGUCUCGCUCUGUCACUCAGGCUGGAGUGCAGUGACGUAAUCUCGGCUCACUGCAACCUCUACCUCCUGGGUUCAAGCGAUUCUCCUGCUUCAGCCUUCCAAGUAGCUGGGACAACAGGUGCCCGCCACCAUGCCCAGCUAAUUUUUGUAUUUUAGGAGAGACAGAGUUUCACCAUGUUGGCCAGGCUGGUCUCGAACUGCUGACCUCAAGCAAUCCACCUGCCUCAGCCCCCCAAAGUGCUAGGAUUAUAGGCAUGAGUCACCAUGCCCGGCCAAAUCAGUUUCAUAUAGCAAAUUGCGAAAGCUGGUCACUGGAUCACCUGAGUUUGAAUUAUUUUGAAUACUGAUGACCCAACGUGCAGAUCCAGGAGACAGAGCCAGGACCCAAGAUUUUCAAUCCUCCAAAGGAGCCCAGGAUUGUCAAGAAUUUGGGCAAGUUUCCUCUGGUUAAAAAACAAAACGCAUGUUUCAGCAUUCAAAGUGAAGCAGAGGAAAAGCACUUAUUAUUCAAUUACUUUAGGCAAUUGAGUCAAGCCAGAGAUAGACACGAUCCAAAAACUCUUGGGAAAGAUGUUCCAUCUUCUACAUGGAAUGCUGGACCUAUCCCAAAGUUCUCCAGGGAUACCCUGAAGAGUUGUAGCACAUUCAAGAAAGUACACACGUUUCUUCAGUAAACAGACCCAGAGAUAGCUGUCCACCUGGAGCAGAUUCUGGUCAGCCCAUGAGCAGCUCUUACUCACACAGAUACUGAGCCAAUCAGAAGUGAUAAAAUCCUUCCAAUACUUCUAAUCACCCAGGAAUGAAUUAGUCAAUGGGGAACUUUUCCUGUCCUCAUCUGCCUGCCCCAGGGCUCAUGGUUCAUCUUGUCCAUGAGUUUCUACAUGCAACUAUGAGCUAAAAUAAAAACAAACCGGCCCAGGCAUGGUGGCUUACACCUGUGAGCACUUUGGGAUGCCGAGGCAGGCAGAUGACUUGAGGUCAAGAGUUCGAGACCAGCCUGGCCAGCAUGGAGAAACUUCAUCUCUACUGAAAAUACAAAAAUUAGUCGGGUGUGGUGGCGCAUGCCUGUAGUCCCCGCUACUUGGGAGGCUGAGGCAGGAGAAUUGCUUGAACCCAGGAGGUGGAGGUUGCAGUGAGUUGAGAUCGUACCACUGCACUCCAGCCUGGGCGACAGAGUGAGACUCUGUCUCAAAAACAAAAACAAAAACAAAAACAAGCAAACAAAAAACCCAUAUACACAGAUGAAAAAGGAGAAGUCCUAAUCACUGAUAGUAAAUCAAUAGAUUACCGUCCACGUUAGAAGCUCUGUAUCUCAGGACCAAACAACCACAAGCCACAUAUGGAGAGAGCGUUUAGUAGUUCACACAUUGUGAUUUAGGAAGCAACCACUUCUCUGAUUCUAAAAUAAUUCACUCUAGGGAGAGUGGCUGCCCUGAAACAUUGCCUUCCCACCAUAUUUAGUUCAAGAAGUCACUCAGGGAUGAGGAAAAUGAAGGAUAUGUACAUGACUGAAGGAUUAAGUGGCAGAAACAGCAUUUUAUUUUUAUUUUUAUUUUUGAGACAGACUCUCGCUCUGUUGCCCAGGCUGGAGUGCAGUGGCGCAAUCUUGGCUCACUGCAACCUCCACCUCUUGGAUUCACCAUGUUGGUCAGGCUGGUCUCGAACUCCUGACCUCAAACAAUUCACCUGCCUCGGCCUCCCAAAGUGCUGGGAUUACCGGCAUGAGCCACUGCACUCAGCCACUAGCUUCUAAUAAUGAUAAUUCUACUCUCUACUUCUAUGAGCUUAACUUUUUUGUACCUCCCACUUACGAGUGAAAACAUGGGGUAUUUAUCUUUCCAUGCCUGACUUUCUUCACUGAAGAUAUUGUCUUCCAAGUUCAUCUGCGUUGUCGCAAAUGGCAGAUUUCAUUUUUUAUGGCUGAAUAGUAUUCCAUGAUGGAUAGAUACCACAUUUUCUUUGUCUAGUCAUGUGUUAAUGAACAUCUUAGCUAUUAUGAAGAGUGUUGCAAUAAACUUGGGGGUGCAGAUAUCUCUUGCAUAGACAGACUUUCUUUUAAAAAUGUAUACAGUAGUAAGAUUACGGAAUCAUAUGGCAGUUCUAGUUUGAGUUUUUUGAGAAAGUGCCAUACAGUUUUCCAUCCUGGCUGUAUUCAUUUACAUUCCCACCAACAGUACAUGAGUUUCCGUUUGUCCCAAUCCUCACCAGCGUUUUUCACUUUUUGUCUCUUUGAUAAUAGUGAUUCUAACUAGGGUGAGUUGGCCAUGAAUCUGCCUUUUCUGGGGGAGAUUUGUAUUCAGAUCCUUUGAUUUUUUUUUUUGAGACAGAGUCUCACUCUAUCGCCCAGGCCUGGCACCAUCUCGGCUCACUGCAACCUCCGCCUCCCGGGCUCAAGUGAUUCUCCUGCCUCAGCCUCUCAAGUAGCUGUGAUUACAGGCACCCACCACCACACCCAGCUAAGGGUUUUGCCAUGUUGGCCAGGCUGGUCUGGAACUCCUGACCUCAGGUGAGCCACCUGCCUCAGCCUCCCAAAGUGCUGGGAUUGCAGGUGUGAGCCACCGCACCCUGCCCUUUUGGUAAUUUUUAAAUUGGAUUACUGUUGUUUACUCUUGAGUUGUUUGAGAUCCUUGUAAUUUUCCAGAUUCAUCCCCUUUCAGAUGAGUCAUUAUUAUCCCCAAAUAUUUGUAAAUAUUUUCUCCUAUUCUACAGCUUGUCUGUCCACUCGGUUGAUUGUUUCCUUUGCUGAGCAGAAGCUUUUCUGGUUUAAUAUAGACCCAUUUAUCUAUUUUUGGCUGUGGUACCUGUGCUUUCAAUUUGUUGCCCACAAAAUCGUGGCCUAGACCAAGGUCCUGAAGCAUUUCCUCUUCUUUUAGCUUUAGUCAUCUCAUCGUUUGGGGUCUUAUAUUUCAGUCUUUAAUUCAUGCGGAGUUUGUUUUUGUAUAUGGUGAGGGAUGGGGGCUAGUUGUGUUCUUCUGAGUACAGUAUCCAUUUUUUCUAGCACCAUUUAUUCAAUAGAGGGUUCUUUCCUCUGUGUACUUCCCUGCUGCUUUUGUCAAAAGUCACUUGGGUGUAAAUCCAUGUUUUUUUUUUUUCCUGGGAUGUCUAUUCUGUUCUGUGUCUUCCUACAUUAAAAAUCACAUUAUAGGCCGGGCACAGAGGCUCAUGCCUGUAAUCCCAGCACUUUGGGAAGCCAAGGUGAGUGGAUCACCUGAGGCCAGGAGUUCGAGACCAGCCUGAUCAACAUGGUGAAAACCCAUCUCUAUUAAAAAAUACAAAAAAUUAGCCAGACAUGGUGGCGGGCGCCUGUAAUCCCAGCUACUCAGGAGGGUGAGGCAGGAGAAUCACUUGAACCCGGGAGGCAGAGGUUUCAGUGAGCUGAGAUCGCACCACUGCACCCCAGACUGGGUGACAGAGCGAGACUCUGUCUCAAAAAAAAAAAAAAAUCAAAUUCUAUUUGUGAGAAAGGAAUCGUGGUGUAUUGGCUCUGACACCUGCCUUAUACCUUUCCAUCUGGAUGUUCUUUUUGCUCUUGGCUUCACUGUGGGUGUCUGAUAAAUUGUACAGACAAAAGUAAGUUUACAAACUGUCUGAAACUUUGGUGUUUCUUCCCCUGAGGAAUUCCCCUGAGGAAUACCAACUCUUCAUGUGCAGAGAAGUGGAAGUAUAGAAAUUCAAUUAUCCAUCUUCUCUCAGCCGAUGAACAGCUAGAGGCUGGAAACGCAGGUUCAAUUGAAAGUUAGAAGCUGCUGCCCUGGAAAUGUACACACUAUCGCUGAGCGAGGACCUUUUCAUGCACUGUGUGGGCACGUGCACACACACCCACCCACACACACGGGUACGCGCGCGCGCACACACACACAAUUGAUUUCCUCUCUAAAGUGGCAAGAAGAAGCUGCCUGGCUGCAAGCCUUGCUGGCAUGGGUCAUGCCAUCUACAAAACUGUUCCCUUGCUCCCCACUUCUGCUCGAAAACCUUUCACAGACUGCAGAUUCAAGGGAAAGCCACGCCAGCCACCCGGCUAUCUGCUGGGAGACCCUGAGGUGGGCUCUUCUCUUUGCCGUCAGCAGGAAGAGGGUCUCCUCCCUCCCACCUGUGUCAUCCUGGGGGAAGAGCUGUCUCUGGAAUGGAAACACCGGGUAGAAGGGUGCAGAGGAGAGAUUGCAUCGCCACUUUAGUGCUUGAUGAAUUCCUUUUUCCCCGACCCACACAGCCCUCUGAUAUCAUGGUCCAUUUUCCUGGCAUCCUUCCUCAGCUGCAAAUCCAUCCUAGACCAUAGCAGGGGAGGCUAUUUUUACCUGGGUCAGGUCCUAUCUUCUCCUUUGUUCCUGUUUCUGAAGGUCAGGAAUGCCUUACCCUCGGGAGCCAGGCUCUCAGACAAAGGCUCUCCAACCCUGAAGCUCUUUCUGUCUCCCAGAACCAUGGGGCAUCGGUGCUGGGGUCACUGCAUGCAGGUAUAAAAUUUUCCCUCAGUAGUGUGUCACUGCAGGCAGGCGAAGACUUCUACCAGGCAUCGUGGAACAGCUCCUGCUCACCGGUGUUAGGGGCCACAGGGAGCGGAGACAAAAAUCAGGGCAUGAAAGGCCUGAAUUGUGUAUUUGCUGGGAAACUGGGUGGUCCCUGUUCUUACCAUGUCAUGGAUUCCUGGUGCAAGCCCUAUGCCCCUGUCCAACAGCCCCAGCUCCCUCCCUCCCUUAAAGAGAGUAUUCAGGAUGCCCAGCUAGGGAGGAACUACCUCCUUUCCCAAGAAUUUGGGCUCCUUCGGCCUUCUGUGCUGUGCCCUGACCUGUUCGUGUCUCCACCAGACAUCAGCCCUAAACACAGCUCACACUUCAGGAAAAAUGUGUGUGCACCCACGUGCCACCAUGCCUGUCUCUCCAUUCCCCAGGGCUAAGCCCCAGAGAGUAAGGGACAAACGUGGGGUGGAGGGCUUUCUGUGAUGCGAGGGCAGAAACCUGGAUCCUUACACUAAGGCGUCUGUGUGCAUCGCCCCUUUAUCACGGGACUGAGUCUCACACCAAGACGUCUGCCUCACCCCUUCAUCACAGAACCCAGUCUCCCCCUUCCCCUUAUAGAAGCUGUGACUCUGGGCAAGGGUGUGUACUUUUUUCCUGCCUGGGCCCAUCCUGCUUGGUAUCAGCAAUGAGUUAGUUGCAACUUGAAACCCCCUUCCCUGUACAAGAGACACAGAGAGAGAGAGAGAAAGAGAGAAGGGGCAGCUUCUCUCCAUGAGCACCUUCAUUCUUUGAUGAGAAUAUCGCAGCUCACCCAUACCGGGGUGCAGGGUGAGAGUGAGGAAAAGAGGAAAGGAAGGGGACUCCCAAAGAAGGGGUGAGAUGCAAGACCUGGACGAGAGAGAUAUCCACCGCUGCGCUGGAGAGAGGGGGCCGGGAAAAGCAGAGAGGUGGGAGAGGUGAUGGAAAGGCGCGCAGUCGGGGACGCCUGCUCUCCCCCGACCCUCCCCAUCUGCAAAGGGAGGC